This 200-nucleotide ribosomal RNA is filed under the name uncultured eukaryote. RNAcentral's name for it is "partial 18S ribosomal RNA". It matches the Rfam family "Eukaryotic small subunit ribosomal RNA", at positions 588 to 798 of the family's 1831-position model. The record is from RNAcentral.
GCUCCAAUAGCGUAUAUUAAAGUUGUUGCAGUUAAAAAGCUCGUAGUUGGACUUCCGGUCGCUCGGGCGGUCCGCCGCAAGGUGAGCACUGCCGCGAGUGACCUCCUCUCGAGGACCGCGUGUGCACUUAACUGUUGCGUGCGCGGGACUCGGGACCUUUACUUUGAAAAAUUAGAGUGUUCAAGCAGGCCUUCGCUUGA